CCUGCGGAGGGAUCAUUGCUGGAACGCGCCCCAGGCGCACCCAGAAACCCUUUGUGAACUUAUACCUUACUGUUGCCUCGGCGCAUGCUGGCCCCCUCGGGGUCCCUCGGAGACGAGGAGCAGGCACGCCGGCGGCCAAGUUAACUCUUGUUUUUACACUGAAACUCUGAGAAAAAACACAAAUGAAUCAAAACUUUCAACAACGGAUCUCUUGGUUCUGGCAUCGAUGAAGAACGCAGCGAAAUGCGAUAAGUAAUGUGAAUUGCAGAAUUCAGUGAAUCAUCGAAUCUUUGAACGCACAUUGCGCCCUCUGGUAUUCCGGAGGGCAUGCCUGUUCGAGCGUCAUUUCAACCCUCAAGCAUUGCUUGGUGUUGGGGCACUGCCUGUAAAAGGGCAGGCCCUGAAAUCUAGUGGCGAGCUCGCCAGGACCCCGAGCGCAGUAGUUAAACCCUCGCUUUGGAAGGCCCUGGCGGUGCCCUGCCGUUAAACCCCCAACUUUUGAAAAUUUGACC
This 512-nucleotide ribosomal RNA is filed under the name Phomopsis sp. ZJLQ385. Its description in RNAcentral is "eukaryotic LSU rRNA". The stretch from base 192 to 345 matches the Rfam family "5.8S ribosomal RNA". RNAcentral also lists the same sequence under 1 other name. The record is from RNAcentral. Lineage: Eukaryota; Fungi; Ascomycota; Sordariomycetes; Diaporthales; Diaporthaceae.